CUUUACGACACAAUUAGCAUCUCCCUCCAAAAUCACGUUUCACGAAAAUCCUUAUGAAAAAUCUCCCUCCAAAAUCAAUUAAUUCCCUCCAAAAUCUCAUUCACAUUCAAGUUUCACGUAGAAGACAUGCAGGAUUUCCUUUCUUUGGGGCAGGUACAUUUGCAGGAUCUGCAAAAAACGCUUAUCGUUUGCUGGUGGGCAGCUUUGACUUUCAUCUCUAUGGUGGCAUCCGUUGCUUAUUAUUUGUCCAUUUGAUGGCGGAUACGGGUGGAUGGGAGAAACAUGAGAAUGAAGGGCUGGCUGUGACAUCUUUAGAGAAUGAGGAUCGCAGAUGUGCUGGUCAGUUUGAAAAGCUUUAACAGAAAUUCCGGCAGAGGCGUCGGAAUUGGCCGCCGGAGGUCGCUAUACGGUCGAUAUGUGGUCGAUAAGCGCCAACAGAUGAAGGAAGCAGCAAACAAGAAGACUACCUAAAGACCAAAUGCAGCUGCUUAGCAAUAUCAUAGCACAAUUAAAACGGAGUGGUCGUUAGCUCUUCAUUUAAGUGAUCUUUUUGUCAUUUCAUUGAGAAAGAUUCACUAAAUCUUUGUUCUUGUUAUACACUCUGUUGGUAGCCUUGUUUGAAUAUAUUUUUUUUAAUGGGUCAAGCGGGUAAGAUAAAAAAAUAGAUUAAGGCUUGGCAAA
This is an RNA transcript of Helianthus annuus (common sunflower), 681 nucleotides long. RefSeq lists it as uncharacterized. NCBI's taxonomy places the organism in Eukaryota, Viridiplantae, Streptophyta, Magnoliopsida, Asterales, Asteraceae. The transcript is spliced from 4 exons. The record is from RefSeq and is a predicted model, not a curated record.